This 435-nucleotide ribosomal RNA is filed under the name uncultured bacterium. RNAcentral describes it as "partial 16S ribosomal RNA". It matches the Rfam family "Bacterial small subunit ribosomal RNA", at positions 28 to 507 of the family's 1533-position model. The record is from RNAcentral.
GAUGAACGCUGGCGGUAUGCUUAACACAUGCAAGUCGAACGGACUCUUCGGAGUUAGUGGCGGACGGGUGUGUAACGCGUGAGAAUCUGGCUUUGGGUUCGGGACAACCACUGGAAACGGUGGCUAAUACCGGAUGUGCCGAGAGGUAAAAGAGAAAUUGCCUGAAGAUGAGCUCGCGUCUGAUUAGCUAGUUGGUGAGGUAAAGGCUCACCAAGGCAGCGAUCAGUAGCUGGUCUGAGAGGAUGACCAGCCACACUGGGACUGAGACACGGCCCAGACUCCUACGGGAGGCAGCAGUGGGGAAUUUUCCGCAAUGGGCGAAAGCCUGACGGAGCAAUACCGCGUGAGGGAAGAAGGCUCUUGGGGUGUAAACCUCUUUUCUUAGGGAAGAACAAAAUGACGGUACCUAAGGAAUCAGCAUCGGCUAACUCCGUG